Long non-coding RNA from Vicia villosa (hairy vetch), 4392 nucleotides. RefSeq lists it as uncharacterized. The transcript has 2 exons. NCBI's taxonomy places the organism in Eukaryota, Viridiplantae, Streptophyta, Magnoliopsida, Fabales, Fabaceae. The record is from RefSeq and is a predicted model, not a curated record.
AACACCUUACACUCAUAGUUCCAUUUUUCUCUCAAAUCAAAAUCAAGUUUCUCUCAACUUCUUCAAAAAGUUUAUCAAGAACAACAACAACUUCAUCACAUCUUCAUCAAUAUUCAAACAAAAAUCAAAACUCUCAAGAACCCAGACUCUCUCUCAAGGAUCUAUCUCUCCUCUCCGCGCUCACUCUCUAUUUCCAACCUUCUUCCGAUCGCCGCCGCGCUCCCGCCGUCACGCCUCCCUCCGGCCGCCACUCCCUCCGACCGGUGGCUCUCUGCGCUCUCUCUCCUUUCUUCUUCGAUUUCUUCGCUUUGAUCUCCUCUCCGCAUUAAUCUUGGAUCCUAAUUAUUUUUAGUGAUUACUUGAAUAAUUCUUGUAGAUUGGUAUUUUAUUUGCAUUCAUGAAUGGAGUUUUGAAUCUUGAUUUGAAUUGAAUUCGAGAAUUAAGCAUGAAUUGAAUAUUGAUUAUUGAUUGUGAUUGAAUAUCAAUUGUUGAUCCUUGUUGAUUCUAAUUGUUAAAGAUUUGUUGAAUCUCGAAUGAUGAAGUUAUGUUGAGAAUUGGUAUUGAGUUCAUGAAUUGAUGCAAAUUUAAUUUGAAUCCGUUGUUAAACUAAUUUGUUUCUGAUACCAAAAUUCCGGUUCGAAUUUAGUUAUAUCAAUUCUUGGAUUAUAUUGUUGUUUGUGCUUGAAAUCCAAACUUUCAUGUGAUAUUUUCGGUUUACAAUGUGUUGGCAUUUUUUAGCAACAUAACUUGAACCCGUAAGCGCUUUUGAGCAUCGAUUUGUGGUUUUAAAUUCAAUUUUUGGUUGGUAUCGAUUCAAGUAUGUGUUGCUGCCCGGAAAAUGUAAAUACAUCAUCAAUCGCUCUUAGAAAUUCGGUUGAGGCAUUCUUAUGCUUACUUGUGCGUUUAAUGAUGGUCAAUGUUGUGAUAUGGUGCUGUCCGGAAUUGGAAAACAUGCUCACUCUGUGAAUUAAUUUGUGCCUAAUGCAUUUGUAGCUUCAUUUUCUUGAUUGGUAAGUACUGGUAGCAUUUCGGUUAAUUUUUUACACGUCUUUUGGUGUGAUUCGGAAUUGGUAACAAUGCUGUCCGGAUUUUAUUCUAGCACGUAUUUUGUGAUUCGAAAUUCAUUUGAUGCAUGUAUGCACUUAAUUGCUUGAUGGCGGACCAUUGGUGUCGAGCUUACUUGCUUUUACGAUGAUUUUUUGUGCGCUUACUUGUGUGAUGUCAAUGCUUCCCGGUAUUUGAUUUUGUGGUUCCGAAACAUGUUAGCCACUUGUUUCUUCAUGAUUCGAAUAUGUAACUCCGGUUACGAUUACUUGUUAUUUCUAAUGAGUUUGCUAGCUUGUGCAAGGACUUCCGAAGGAUUUUUCGGUGGUGAUUUGAUUGCUCCGUGUUCCACACUUUAUUUGUGGGAUACGAGUUCGUUUCCGAUUGUGACUUACUUGAUUCUCAUCUAAUGAGAAAUAUAGACUGCUUGGUUUUUGUCUAGAUUGUGAAUUUUUACAGAUGUAUCGCCCGAAUUUGUCCGACAUAUAUUCUGAUUUGUGAUUUAUUUUCACAUCAAUGAUGCUUUAACGUUUAUGCUAGAUGACAUGAUUUCUGACAUUCUUGUUUGUUGAUGCUAGCUCGCGCGAAGUCGAUAUAGCAGAGAACAUUGUUCAUGAGACGUUAAUGGAAGAAUCUAACGGUGACGAUGUAGUUAUUGUUGAUCAUGACAGUCCUAUAAUUGUGGAUGUUGAUAAUGAUGUUGCAAGAAAUGAUGAAAAUUGUCUGGGCAGUUCCCUCUCUCUCGUACACGCAACAAUGACACUCUUGAGGAUUUCCAAGAGGUAAGCACUCCUAAACCACUUUAAGAUGAUAAUUCAGAUACUACUACAAAUUUUCAAUUGCCUUACAGACACAGACACAGUAGGGGUAAACCCCCAGACCGCUAUUCACCAAACAUUGAAGGAAAGGGUUCAAAGUAACCAAUUACUAAUUAUGUUAGCACUAAGAGACUCUCUUAACCACUAAAGGCCUUUGCACACAAUCUGUCCUUCAUCCAUAUUUCAACACGAGUGCAGGAGGCGUUUUAAGAUCCAAACUGGUCUCAAGAAAUUCAAGAAGAGAUGAAAGUCUUACUAAAGAAUAACACAUGGAACCUUGUCUCCUUGCCGAGUGGAAAGAAGACUGUAGGUUGGAAAUGAGUAUUUUCCAUGAAAUACAAAGUUGAUGGUUCUAUAGAGAAAUAUAAGGCUAGAUUGGUGGGCAAGGGGUAUACACAAACUUAUGGCAUAUGCUACCCAUAGACUUUUUCACCAGUGGCGAAGUUGAAUAUAGUUAGAGUCUUGUUGUCUAUUGCUGCAAAUUUAGACUGGCCAUUACAUCAAUUUAACGUAAAUAAUGCUUUUUUACAUGGAGAGUUGGAAGAGGAGGUAUAUAUGGACAUUCCACCAGGCUAUAUUGUAUCAUCUAGUGAUCAGACUUUGUGCAGGUUGCAAUGGGUGUUAUAUGGAUUGAAGCAAUCCCCACGUGCUCUAUUCGGACGGUUCACCUUAACUAUGAAAAAAUAUGGGUUCCAAUAGAGCAAUUCUAACCAUACACUUUUCUUGAAAGAUAACAAAGGAAAGGUUACUGCAUUAAUAAUCUAUGUUGAUGAUAUGAUUAUUAUAGGUAAUGAUAUAGAGGAGAUCUCCAAAAUUCAGAGGAAACUUAGAACUAAAUUCAAAAUGAAGAACUCUGGAGGACUAAAAUACAUUUUGGAAUAGAAGUUGCCAAGUCAAAUGAAGGGAAGAAAAAGUAAAUGGAGAUGAGGAGUAUUGUGAAAGAGAUUUUGAAAAGAAGAGAACAAAUUUGAAAUGAGCUGUUGAAAUUGUGAAAGUUGGAAUGAAUUAAAAGGACAAAUAUUAGAGAUAUUUGUCAUUUAUGUAGUUUCUCUAAGAUUGACAUGCAUUUUGGUAAAACCAACCUAGCAGAAACAUGUUGAAUAAAAUGUCAUAUCAUACAGAUUUCGACAUUUCGAACAAGAUGUUACAACAUGGCAGGUAUGACAUCGUGUUUGCUGGAGCUGAUCUGUUACUUUUCUGCACUGGUUUUUGUUACUGUACCAACUUGAUCCAUAAGUGUUUGUUCUCAGAUAUUAGUGUUGUGACAUCUCAUUCGACAUCACAUAACUGAUACCAGAAUUUCAAUUUAUAUGUUUAUCCUUUUUUAUAUAUCAAUAUUUGGCUAAAUACCCUUUUUGGUCCCUUAAGUUUACCUCGGGGUCCAUUCUGGUCCCUUAUCUUUAAAAAGUUCCAAAGUGGUCCUUUAAUUGUUCAAAAAGGUCCACGUUAGUCCUUUCCGUCUAAUUUUUUUAAAACGGUAUUAACUUUUGCACUAGUGGCAUCUGACGUGGCACCUGUUCAUGCAUCUGACGUGGCACCUGUUCGUACGCGUGGCAUCUAUUCAUAAUCAAAGGUCAUCAAAAUUCUUUAAAAAAUUCCAAAAUUUUGCCUUGACCUAAGAUUUGAAUCAAGUACAUAUUGAUUGCUAGACAACAAUCUUACCACUGAGCCAAUGUAUCUAAUGUUGAUAUAAUUUAAAAAUGAUAUAAUAUAUAAAAAAAGAGAAAUAUGAGAGAGUAGUCCUUCAUCCUUCUCUCUCUUCUUGUCAUCUUCAUUGCUCAGCCCUUCUAAAAACCUCCAUGGUCAAAUUUUCCUCAACCUCAAAAUUCACCCAAAAAUUAAAAAUGGAGAUAUGAUUUAAAUCGUUUUUCGCCCUUAACUUGAAUCUGCAAACCAAAUUCCCAUAAUCUUCAUCAACCUUAUUUAAUUUUAAAUUUUGUUCAGAAACCCUAGAGCUUAGAAAUAAAAUUCAACGAUGAAUAUUUACAAACUCAAGAAAUUAAUGAAAUCAAGAUUCAUCAAAUGCCUGAAAUUAAGCGAGGAAUAUAAGCUGAUGAGUUUAUGUUUGGAGGUUAUUAGUUUUUCUAGUUUUGAAUUGGAUUUGAGAUUGGUUGUUAGGGUUUUAUCAAAGUGAAUGAAACUUUACAAUUUUUGUUGCAAGAUUAAAAGGGGUUGGAGAAUGAAAGGGAAACUGUUGAUUUUUUUUCCAGAAUUUUAUAGAUGUUGAGAAGUAGAUACUGCAAGAUGAAGAUGAAGAAGCUGUAUCAAAACCCAGAAAAGUGAGGAUUUUUGAAGAAACCCGUUGUUGAAACCCAUAUUGAGGAACAAGAUGAUGAACUUUGAAGAAAUAAAAAAAAAGAGAAUUAAUAUUCUGAUACGAUGAAAACUAUUAGGGGAGCUUCCACAAUGAAUGCCAUAUUCUGAUACAAUGAAAAAUAUCAUGAAGAUAUGCAAAUUAAUAAUUUUUGUUCUUAAUUACUGUUUUUGUACAAGAUAUGCAAAUUAAUUCAAGAUAUUUUGUUCUAAAUUA